UACGUAGGGUGCAAGCGUUAAUCGGAAUUACUGGGCGUAAAGCGUGCGCAGGCGGUUGUGCAAGACAGAUGUGAAAUCCCCGGGCUCAACCUGGGAACUGCAUUUGUGACUGCACAGCUUGAGUGCGGCAGAGGGGGAUGGAAUUCCGCGUGUAGCAGUGAAAUGCGUAGAUAUGCGGAGGAACACCGAUGGCGAAUGCAAUCCCCUGGGCCUGCACUGACGCUCAUGCACGAAAGCGUGGGGAGCAAACAGG
RNAcentral lists this ribosomal RNA (253 nucleotides) under uncultured bacterium. RNAcentral's name for it is "partial 16S ribosomal RNA". It matches the Rfam family "Bacterial small subunit ribosomal RNA", at positions 524 to 776 of the family's 1533-position model. The record is from RNAcentral.